This 188-nucleotide antisense RNA is filed under the name Triticum aestivum (bread wheat). Its description in RNAcentral is "lncRNA IsrR". It matches the Rfam family "Antisense RNA which regulates isiA expression". The record is from Rfam by way of RNAcentral. RNAcentral also lists the same sequence under 2 other names. Lineage: Eukaryota; Viridiplantae; Streptophyta; Magnoliopsida; Poales; Poaceae.
AAUAUCCAAAUAUAAGAAUGGGACUAAGGGUCAAAUUGGUAAUUUUUCUUACACCCCCCACACCCAAGGGCCCAUGUAUCCUAUACACCGCCAAAAUAAAGAGCCUUGAGUGCUAGAAGAAAAUCACAUAGACCUAACGAAAUUAAGUGGAUACCCAAAAUUGUAGUAAUUUUAUUUCUAUCUUUCUA